UGGGGAAUAUUGCACAAUGGGGGAAACCCUGAUGCAGCGACGCCGCGUGAAGGAAGAAGUAUCUCGGUAUGUAAACUUCUAUCAGCAGGGAAGAUAGUGACGGUACUGACUAAGAAGCCCCGGCUAACUACGUGCC
This 136-nucleotide ribosomal RNA is filed under the name uncultured bacterium. Its description in RNAcentral is "partial 16S ribosomal RNA". It matches the Rfam family "Bacterial small subunit ribosomal RNA", at positions 355 to 509 of the family's 1533-position model. The record is from RNAcentral.